GACGAACCGUGCUAACGUUGUUCGGAAUCACUGGGCUUAAAGGGUGCGUAGGCGGCCGGGUAAGUCGGGUGUGAAAUGCCUCAGCUCAACUGAGGAACGGCGCCCGAUACUGCCCGGCUCGAGGGAGGUAGGGGCGCGUGGAACUUCCGGUGGAGCGGUGAUAUGCGUUGAUAUCGGAAGGAACGCCGGCGGCGAAAGCGACGCGCUGGACCUCUGCUGACGCUGAGGCACGAAAGCUAGGGGAGCGAACGGG
RNAcentral lists this unclassified non-coding RNA (253 nucleotides) under uncultured Planctomycetia bacterium. RNAcentral's name for it is "contains 16S-23S intergenic spacer region". It matches the Rfam family "Bacterial small subunit ribosomal RNA", at positions 524 to 776 of the family's 1533-position model. The record is from RNAcentral. Lineage: Bacteria; Pseudomonadati; Planctomycetota; Planctomycetia.